AGAAGGCUGAUGUGUGUGAGAUACCCGCUGAAUUUAAGCAUAUAAGUAAGCGGAGGAAAAGAAACUAACUAGGAUUCCUUAGUAAUGGCGAAUGAACAGGGAUCAGCUCAGUGCCAAAUCGGAAUCACUUGUGGUUCUGAAAUGUGGCUUGAAGGCAGUACCAGUGGCAUCGCGGACGAAAGUCUCUUGGAAAAGAGCGUCAUAGAGGGUGAGAAUCCCGUGAGUCGUUCGCCGUUUGUCACGUACGGUCUGCGUUCUAACGAGUCGCGUUCCUUGGGAUUGGAGCGUAAACGGGUGGUAAAUUUCAUCCAAAGCAAAAUAUAUACUCGAGACCGAUAGCACAAAAGUACCGUGAGGGAAAGGUGAAAAGAACUUUGAGAAGAGGGUUAAAUAGUGCCUGAAAUCGUUGAGAAGGAAGCGGAUGCCGCCGUUGCAUAUGCUGAUUGUAGGAUUGCUGCUCGCUCCUGUCUUCUGCUACUCAUUCACAGACCUGGUCGUGUUGAGCAGUUGUUUGGCAGAUGUUAGUGGUGUUUCCUACUCUCAGUCGUCAGCAUCACUGGCUGAGUGGAAAUAAUCCUUGGAUGCUAAUUGGUUCGCUAUCUGUGAAUUGGUUGCUUCCUUGCGAUACUCACUACUCGGUCAGUGAGGAAGUGCGUUUGCUGGUCAACGAGCUUUCUAACUGUCAUUACCCUGCGCUUUUCGAUUCGUCGAGUGGCCAGGAUGUGGCUUUGAGAUUGUUCGCACUUAGUAAUCGCGAUGCUGGCUUCCAACGGUUGCCUCCGGCCCGUCUUGAAACACGGACCAAGGAGUCUAACGUAUGUGCGAGUGUGUGAGUGGCAAACUUAUACGCGUAAUGAAAGUGAGGCCGUAUGGCCAUGUUGGGGUCACCAACAACCGACCUUGAUCUUCGGUGAAAGGUUUGAGUAUGAGCAUAUCCGUUAGGACCCGAAA
This 951-nucleotide non-coding RNA is filed under the name Perkinsus marinus ATCC 50983. RNAcentral's name for it is "Eukaryotic large subunit ribosomal RNA". It matches the Rfam family "Eukaryotic large subunit ribosomal RNA", at positions 1 to 821 of the family's 3401-position model. Lineage: Eukaryota; Perkinsozoa; Perkinsida; Perkinsidae. The record is from Rfam by way of RNAcentral.